Molecule: small RNA, 174 nt
Filed under: Porphyromonas endodontalis ATCC 35406
Lineage: Bacteria; Pseudomonadati; Bacteroidota; Bacteroidia; Bacteroidales; Porphyromonadaceae
Description: Bacteroidales-1 6S-Bacteroidales RNA suggested
Rfam family: Bacteroidales-1 6S-Bacteroidales RNA suggested
Source: Rfam by way of RNAcentral
AACCGCACUUGUCAAAUUGGGAAACUCAUCAAGUGUUUUGUGUUUACCGAGAUGUUGUUGGCAACAAUGGCGGGCCGCUGGUACACCUUGUGUGCACGAGACGGAUUACAAAAGUGCCGACACGCUUUAAUCCUGAUUAUAGGAGUUUUCACAAUUCACAGUGCGGUUUUGUCU